Athene cunicularia (burrowing owl) is the source of this 181-nucleotide long non-coding RNA. RefSeq lists it as uncharacterized. The record is from RefSeq and is a predicted model, not a curated record. NCBI's taxonomy places the organism in Eukaryota, Metazoa, Chordata, Aves, Strigiformes, Strigidae. The transcript has 3 exons.
UGAGAGAGUUGGGGGGUUCAGCUGGAGAAGAGAAGGCUGCGGGGAGACCUUAGAGCGGCCCCCCAGGGCUGAAAGGGGCUGCGGGAAAGGGGGGAGAGGCUCUGGAUCAGGGGGUGUGGGGACAGGAUGAGGGGUAACGGCUUUAAACUGACAGAGGGGAUUUUGAUGAAAAGAGUAAGUU